Molecule: unclassified non-coding RNA, 2690 nt
Filed under: Hevea brasiliensis (rubber tree)
Lineage: Eukaryota; Viridiplantae; Streptophyta; Magnoliopsida; Malpighiales; Euphorbiaceae
Source: RNAcentral
GAAAAAGAUUAAGAUACGUCCAAUAACAGCCUCUCCAAUUCCCUUGGGGGGGCUUUAUGUACCAGCUACGAUUGCAAAACAUUGAGACAGCAAAAUAUGCUAACUUUUGUAUUUUGUGCUUCAUGUGCUCUGGGCUAGAUAGUGAUCUGGUUUGUGCAAAUCAAGGAAAUGUUGAAAAAGGUCGAGUCCUUUAAAACACGUCCAACAAGUCCCACAGUCGGGCUUUCACCAAAACAAGGAAGCUUAAUUUAAUCUAAGCCAUGAGCAUGAUAGAAAGGGGCAAGUUUCAGUCGGCAAAUGAUAGUGUCAUAGGCAAAUAAUCUCUUAAUUUACAACUACCACUCUCUUGUAUGCUUGGCCUAAUACAAUGGGAAGUACAAAUAAUAUUUCAUACAUACAUAUACAUGCCUACUUCAUACUAAGAUGCUUGCAUUUGAAUGCUUGAUUCUGUACUUGUCUGUAGAGAUUCCGCAACUUCUUCCUCUUCCUCAGGAAGAUCAUCUGCAUGCUUUUCUGGUUGAUUAAAGCUUCUAACAAACUCGGUGAAAGCAGGAAAAUGCUCAGGUGAGAAAAAUUCAGCUCCCAUUCUCUGAUAAGUGAACAAGUCUACCACAUUUUCACCCGACACAUUUUUCUUCAUCUGCUCAAAAUGAUGGGGAGAUUUAGAAACCAAUGAGUUCUGCCCAGAAACGUCAACCCCAUACUUUCUGCAAGCUGUUCUAAUUUGUGCAAGUAACAGCUCUGGGCUUGACAGUGACCCCUGAGGCUGAUGCUUAUCUGACAGGUCCAUUCCAGGUAAAAUCAUUUUACAUGAAUUCCUUGCAAACAUCUCAGCAACCGCCCCGUAGCCAUCUCUGUUUUCUGUGUUAUAAAACCCAGCCGUCAGCUCAGACGGGUGAGUGCGGGUUUUGUACCAUUGGUGCAUGAGUGGGACUUUGCCAUAAAUUGUCACGGUAGUGUCACCAAACUCAGUGGAGGCAAGGGAAAGGAGGCGAUUUCCAUGAGACAAAAGCUGACUUGAAUACCAGGAAAGGAAGAAGUUGCCAUAAGGAGACUCCCAUGAUCCUCCAUGAUCCUUGAAGAAGCUGUUAAAGUUUGGCAACUGGUUAUAACUGGGGGCAUCAUGGGGACCACCAAGUCCCCAUAAAGGAUUUCCCAUUGCCUCAGCAUGUUGCUUUAGAAGGUUAAGCAUAUUUUUGUCAUAACAUUGGAACUCCCCAACUCCAUGGAUUUUGCCACUUUUAACUACCCCACGAUAAGAAGGAUAUCGUAGUUCUCCAUUUGGACCAAGUCCCAUCGUGAUGCCAGUGAUUGUGGAACCCAUUAAAUGCGAGAAUGAAGACUUGAAGCUCUUGCAAAAUUCCUGGUAAACUUGGACUGCUGUCUUACCAUUAAGGACAGGAAGAUCAUCAACAGCCAAUGACAAGCACUCUCUGAAGUGAUGCCCUGAUCUAUCGGCAAAGAAAAUACCAGGUUCUGAUUCACCAAUACGGGACACCCACUCAGGGAGUGGGAUUUUAGGUUGUUCAUUAGCGUGGAAGCAGAAAGACACAUGAAGUUUGAGACCAGCACUCUGAACCAUCUUUGCAAGAUUAAGGUAGCCUUCCCACUCGUAUUUGCCCAUUGCUUCCUUCUCAGCUAUUCCCCACCACACAGCCAUCUCCACACCUUCAACUCCUAAUAAUUUCAAAGCUUUAAGUCCUACAGAGAUUGCUCUAGCAUGGUUGAUCGAAUUGCAGUCAGAAACUGCAUCCAAGGGCAGUCCAACAUAUAAUCUUACAUCAUCGAGCUGCAAAAGACGAUUACUCUAAUUACCCCCAAUUUUUUUCCCCUAAUACAUAAAAUAUGACAAGUAUACAAGCGGUAGCUGAAUUAGAAUGUCUAGAUUUUUUUUUUAAUUUAAAUUCGGGAAAACUGCUAAAAAACGAACAUUAUAACACAAAAAUCGAUUCUUGUUUGCUUUCACCAAAUAAUUUCCCGGAAAAUUGAUUUCCUUUUCCCUUUUUCAAGCAGAAAAAUUUUACUUGACAAAAAUAAAGCAACAAGUUAAAUAAAAUAAAACCAGAGUUUAGGAAUAACUUCAAGAUCUAACCUUGAAACGAAACAAAAUGCAAAUAUGCAAACACUAACAGAAAACUAUGGGAAAAAAAUAUCGCAACAAAAAGAAGGAAAAGAAAGAUAGAAACCAUACCGAUUUGGACCUGGAAGCACAACCCCGAGUCGAGAGAUCAUCGGAGAGGACGGGUUCUGUUUGGAUCGCAUUUAAGGUAAAGUGAAGGCCAGAGUUUCUUCUCCACCUCGUUCUUGAAUCAAAGAAAGACACAUUAGUAGAGUUUCUUCGAGGAAAACAGAACCUCAACUCUUUAUUCACUAAUUCGCUUUUGCAAAUAGCGGCCUGAGAGCUUCCGAUCACCGACACCUCCAUAUCAAAAAACGAAAAAUCUAAAUAUUAUCGACAAUCUAAGAUCUGGCAGGUGGAUGGACCUCAAAUCGGGAAAAGAAAGCACCAAAAUUCCAAAUAAAAUCCAGAGAGAAAAUUUAGUUUUGAAUAAGCGGAAAAUCGAUUUGGUAGCGAGAAAAUAGAAUGUGUUUGGUAGCCGCGAAAAUCGAAAAAUUUAGUGUUUGGGAAUUGAAGUUGAAGGUUCCGUAAACGGUGUGUGGUUUUAAAGACGCGCUUUUUUCUGGGGCCA